RNAcentral lists this transfer RNA (73 nucleotides) under Stegodyphus mimosarum. It matches the Rfam family "tRNA". Rfam says of the family: Transfer RNA (tRNA) molecules are approximately 80 nucleotides in length. Their secondary structure includes four short double-helical elements and three loops (D, anti-codon, and T loops). Lineage: Eukaryota; Metazoa; Arthropoda; Arachnida; Araneae; Eresidae. The record is from Rfam by way of RNAcentral.
GCCUUUGUGGUGUAAUGGUCAGCACACUCGGCGCGUAUUCGAGAGGUCCGAGGUUCGAGUCCCAGCGAAGGCA